Molecule: ribosomal RNA, 244 nt
Filed under: uncultured bacterium
Lineage: Bacteria
Description: partial 16S ribosomal RNA
Rfam family: Bacterial small subunit ribosomal RNA
Source: RNAcentral
GGGCAAGCGUUAUCCGGAAUUACUGGGUGUAAAGGGAGCGUAGACGGUGAUGUAAGUCUGGAGUGAAAGGCGGGGGCCCAACCCCCGGACUGCUCUGGAAACUAUGUGACUGGAGUGCAGGAGAGGUGAGCGGAAUUCCUAGUGUAGCGGUGAAAUGCGUAGAUAUUAGGAGGAACACCAGUGGCGAAGGCGGCUCACUGGACUGUAACUGACGUUGAGGCUCGAAAGCGUGGGGAGCAAACAG